Gadus morhua (Atlantic cod) is the source of this 1532-nucleotide long non-coding RNA. The record is from Ensembl. Lineage: Eukaryota; Metazoa; Chordata; Actinopteri; Gadiformes; Gadidae.
AUGACAGUGUUUGGUUUGUUUUAUUUCCAAGACGGCUCCGUUAGAGCAGAUAAUACAUCCGUCAUACGUGAUGCAUACAGAAAUAAAAAAAUAACGGUUAACUGCAGGGAAGACCUCGAGUCGGAGCAGGGCUGGAUAGAGGUAAUUUGGCCUACACAACGGCGACAACAAGAGGCGAAGCCUAUUGCAGCCAAAUUGCUUUUCUUUGGAGACACGGUGAGGGAGAAAUUCCCCAACACCAUGGUUAGUGAGAUCCGGGCCCUGCUGCGGAGGAAAUGCAAUAAUGAGGGCUACACCAAGGUUGCUCCUCAGUAGCUUUAUUAUAUAUGUUAUAUAUGUCAGAUGUUUUAAAGUUAGGUGUUAUUGAAUGUAUGUUUGUAUUAAUAUUUAAAUUAAAGUUUUGGUUUGUACAAUUUAAGUGUUUUUUGUCAUGGAACAAAAUAGCACCCAUGGAGUGUACUAAAAUGGUACCAGAAAGAAGUGCAUGUGAAGUAUAAUAUGUAUUGUAAGUAUAUUUCUGUAGUAUUUAUAAAGUACUUAGUAGUAUAACAGUAUUGUACUUAAAAUACCCUUAAUAUACGCUUCCACUUUACAUUAUAGUAUAAUAACUAUACUUUAAGUACAUGCCUUUGAUGCUUAAAUUGUGACACAAAUUGACUAUAAAUACAUAAUAAAUGCAUUUUUAGUUACAUAAUUGCACACUUUAAAAGUACUAAAUAUAGUCAGAAAGUGUACUUGAAUUUAAUUAGAAAUAUGACAGAGGAAUGAUAAUAGUCUGUUAAAAAUACACUUCUAUUAUGUAGUAUAAGCAGUGAUAAAAUACACUCAAUAUACACUUCUGCUCCUCUUUAGAGUAUAAUAACAUUGUACUUAAAGUGCAUGCCUUUGAUGCUGCAAUUGUGAUAGAAAUGUACUAUAAAUACAUUUUAAUUAACAUAAUGGCAGACUUAAAAAGUACUAAAUAUAGUCAGAAAGUGUAUUUGAAUUUAAUUUGAAAUAUGACAGAAGUAUGAUAAUAGUGUGUUCAAAAUAUACUUAUAUACUACUAUCAAUUGAACCAUACUGCCUUUUUAAGUAUAUUUCAAACACACUGGUAAUAUAAUGCUAUUGUACUGCAAGAGUGUUUCAAAUGCUAGAAAUCAUACUUUUCACUAGUGUACUUCAGUACACUUAAAGGUUGUCAAAAGUUGUGCAAUUUUAGCAUACUAUUUACACUUGGAGUAUACUGGAGUAUAUCUAUAGUAGUACUUAAGGUAUACCUUAGUACACUUUGGUAUACUUGAAUGCGACGAAAUUAGUACAGAAUACAGUUACAUACUAAAAGUGGACUUAGUACAUCCUUUCAAAAGUGUCGUUGAAGUAUAAUAUUUUUUCACCUGGGGUGUGUGUGUGUGUGUGUGUCUGUGUGUGUGUGUGUGUGUGUGUGUGUGUGUGUGUGUGUGUGUGUGUGCGUGUGUGUGUGUGUAUGUGUGUGUGUGUGUAUGUGAGUGUGUGUGCGUGCGUUCUGUAAUUUAGGUAUUUGGUUGGUUGUA